RNAcentral lists this ribosomal RNA (253 nucleotides) under uncultured bacterium. RNAcentral's name for it is "partial 16S ribosomal RNA". It matches the Rfam family "Bacterial small subunit ribosomal RNA", at positions 524 to 776 of the family's 1533-position model. The record is from RNAcentral.
UACGAAGGGGGCUAGCGUUGCUCGGAAUCACUGGGCGUAAAGGGUGCGUAGGCGGGUCUUUAAGUCAGGGGUGAAAUCCUGGAGCUCAACUCCAGAACUGCCUUUGAUACUGAAGAUCUUGAGUUCGGGAGAGGUGAGUGGAACUGCGAGUGUAGAGGUGAAAUUCGUAGAUAUUCGCAAGAACACCAGUGGCGAAGGCGGCUCACUGGCCCGAUACUGACGCUGAGGCACGAAAGCCGGGGGAGCAAACAGG